AGAGAUAAACCCCAAAUCAUUUGUUAUUUCGAACUGGGCCUAAUAAUGGGCCCAGUAUGACAAGCUUGAUUGAACAAGUUUCAGUAGAUCCACACCAGUUACAUACCCUCAAACAAUAUGGGUUAAACGAUUAGCAGGCCCAAUUAAUUCUAAGAGGUCAUAACCCAAAUGUUCAGCUAUUAACCUAACUGAUUUUGCUAAUUACAACAAUUAGGUGAACCGAGUUAUUACAGGCUUUUCAAAUUAGCUAUACACAGAAUCAAUAAAUUACAAAGCGAUCUUCAAAUUUUAAACUAUGGGAAUUAAAAUAGAGUCAACUAUUAUACACAUGGACACUUCACGCCUAUAAAACUUUGAGUCAGGCCUGGUACAGGCCAAACUCCCAAACUUCAACAUUAGCUAAUGUUUCAUCUUCUAGUUACAAAUCUAAUAGUAAAUCAGUGAAACUCCACAUACGAUAUCAAAACACACCAAUGGCAAUUUCAGCCCUAGAUUAUUCAUACAAGUCACGAGAUCAAAUCUCAUACUCAUCCUCUCAGUAGUUACUUAGGUUUACAAUAUGCUUUAGACAUUAGCUACAUCAGACAAUUCAAACUCAAUUCGAAUUUGUAAUUAGACGUGAAGGAAUAUCUAAGGAACACAUAAAUGAAUAAAUUGAGGCAGAUUUUAUAACGUCAUGGCAUCCACAUUGGCAAGUACAUGAUCUGAGACUGAAAGAAGUACCUGGAUAGUAAUAAACCAGGCUACAAUUAGCCCAAUAAAAGCGAGAGAUAAAAGGACAGGACUCAACUAAGCAGAACACAACACAACUUCAAAUAUGGACUAAAAACUACAUGAAAAUCUAGGAAAAUAGUAUAGAAGACCUUCUUGAAUCAAUCAAUAGCAGUUAAUCAUUUUUGAGUAUGAAAAUCAGCCUAAACUUUUAUUGUUUUUGUGUUUUUCCUCUCAGUUUUUAAAGCUGGAAAUUUCAAAUCUCAGAAAGGGAAUUUUGAAUUUCAAAACCUGUUUUCAUCUCUCUUUGGUAAGAAGUGCGUGAGUGAGAAUGUAUGAGAGUGAAUGGGUGUGAAUAUCAUAGUGAAUGUGAGCAGUCUGUUAUAUAGAAUAAAUUUCAGCAUCUUUUAGUUUGCUCCCUUUUCUUUUACCCCUCCUAAUUUCUGCUAUUUUUCUCCCUCACCCCCGACCUCUCCAGCUUUUUAUUGCUAACAGGUCCUUUUUACUCUCUUCUAGAAGCUUCUCCACCGAUUAAGCUAAAAAUUACUUCAAGUAAUUCCCUAAUUUUAUCUUUUUAUCCUUAUAUUUACCUCUGACUAACAGGCUCAUACCUAAACUCCCACUUAACUGGCCGGCCUGUUAAAAAAUGGCAGGCCAAUUCUUUUGCCCAAAUGAACUAGAACAGAUCAAUAAUCUACUGCAAACAAACAAUCUCAUAUGCAAUCAAAACUUAAUUAAUUAUAAAGCAAUUGACCAAAUAUGCAACUAAACUAAAAUCAAACAACUAAUCACCAAUUAAUCCAAACUAUUAAUUAAACCUACUUAAAUAUAAAUGUCAAUAUGUGGUCAUUAGACAAAAUUAGAGAAAAUGGAAAAAGUAGUAUACCAGUCAACAUAAACAAAUCCGGUGAGUGAGUUGAAAUCCAAUGGUGAAAAGACUCCGGCGAGCAAUGGAGAAGAGUGAAUUCUGGCCGGUCAACGAGAUUUGACCGAUCUCUGGUGACCUGGAAGUGAGCUAAAACUAACGCCAAUCAAUUGCUCUCGUCAAGAGCAAUCGAUCAACGUAAGUUUCAAGUCAAAACGAAUUAAAAAAGGCUGAGAAAUUGAAAAAGGGACAAAUUUGGUUUUAAUACCUAGAUCUACUAAUCGUGGAAUUUGGGUGGAAUUUGAGAGAAACGAGUAGUGGAUUUAGACAGAUGAAGGGCUAGGGAUUGUAGGGUGACAAUUUGGGGUGGUUUGGAGUGGUACCGCCGCCGUGGACGAUUUUUGGCGGGCAGCGAGCGGUGGACAACAGUGAGGGUGAGGAGGAGUCUGAGCGGGGUCUCUUGGGGUGGGGUAGGCUAUUUAGGAUACUUUUAUGGGAACAAAAGGCUAGUUCCAGGCCAUUGGAUCUUGUUU
This 2109-nucleotide long non-coding RNA is filed under the name Nicotiana tabacum (common tobacco). Its description in RNAcentral is "long non-coding RNA (NTAB_LNC011466)". Lineage: Eukaryota; Viridiplantae; Streptophyta; Magnoliopsida; Solanales; Solanaceae. The record is from RNAcentral.